GGCGUGCCAAACAAGCCCUAAUUUCUAGAGAAUUCUCUGGCCUUUACUGCCCCGCGAGGCGUGGCAAUUUUGGUUUUCCUCUUCUCCAAGGAACUAGGGAACUCCUUUCUCCAAAAUAAUAAUAAUAAUUAUCAUUUUGAUUUUUACUCCUUCAUCACUGUUGCUGAAUCAAAGCUCGGAUCAACAGGUUGAUCCAUAGGUUGAGAGAGAAAAUGGUGGAUGAAUUGAAGCAAGG
Molecule: unclassified non-coding RNA, 235 nt
Filed under: Hevea brasiliensis (rubber tree)
Lineage: Eukaryota; Viridiplantae; Streptophyta; Magnoliopsida; Malpighiales; Euphorbiaceae
Source: RNAcentral